UGUUAAUAAUUUAUAUAAAAUAUUUUGAUGAAUAUUUAUAUAAUAUUAACAUAAUUCAUAUUACUAUUUUUUUUUUAGUAUAUGAAAUUUUACUUUGAGAAAAUUAGAGUGCUUAAAGCAGGCAUAUGCCUUGAAUACUCCAGCAUGGAAUAAUAUUAAAGAUUUUUAUCUUUUUUAUUGGUUCUAAGAUAAGAAUAAUGAUUAAUAGGGACAGUUGGGGGCAUUUGUAUUUAACAGUCAGAGGUGAAAUUCUUAGAUUUGUUAAAGACAAACUAAUGCGAAAGCAUUUGCCAAGGAUGUUUUCAUUAAUCAAGAACGAAAGUUAGGGGAUCGAAGACGAUCAGAUACCGUCGUAGUCUUAACCAUAAACUAUGCCAACUAGAGAUUGGAGGUUGUU
Molecule: ribosomal RNA, 397 nt
Filed under: Cryptosporidium environmental sequence
Lineage: Eukaryota; Apicomplexa; Conoidasida; Eucoccidiorida; Cryptosporidiidae
Description: partial small subunit ribosomal RNA
Rfam family: Eukaryotic small subunit ribosomal RNA
Source: RNAcentral